This 761-nucleotide ribosomal RNA is filed under the name Pleurochaete squarrosa. RNAcentral's name for it is "Tortella squarrosa partial 26S ribosomal RNA". It matches the Rfam family "Eukaryotic large subunit ribosomal RNA", at positions 22 to 785 of the family's 3401-position model. The record is from RNAcentral. Lineage: Eukaryota; Viridiplantae; Streptophyta; Bryopsida; Pottiales; Pottiaceae.
UACCCCCCUUUUUUAGCAUAUCACUAAGCGGAGGAGAAGAAACUAACCAGGAUUUCCCUAGUAACGGCGAGCGAACCGGAAAGAGCCCAGCUUGAAAAUCGAGGCCCCUCGGGCCCCGAAUUGUAGUCUGGAGACGCAUCCUCUGCAACGCACCGGACCCAAGUUCCCUGGAAAGGGACGUCAGAGAGGGUGACAACCCCGUCGAGUCUGGACCGUGUUGCUCCACGAGGUGUGGUCGUCGAGUCGGGCUGUUUGGGAAUGCAGCCCUAAGUGGGUGGUAAAUUCCAUCCAAGGCUAAAUAUUGGCAAGAGACCGAUAGCGAACAAGUACCGCGAGGGAAAGAUGAAAAGGACUUUGAAAAGAGAGUUAAAAAGUGCUUGAAAUUGCUGGGAGGGAAGCGAAUGGAAGCUGCGGGUGUGCCCCGGUUGGAUGUGGAACGGCUCGCGCUGGUCCGCCGCUCAACGCGGGGCACUGGUCAGCGUGGGCCAUCGCGGCGGGACAAGAGCGGGGUGUAGUUCCCUGCCUAUGCCGUUGCGGUGGCCGAGGAACGAAGCGCGCGGGCUUGCCCGUGGGGUCUCCCCAACUGCGCGCUCGGGACGCUGGCGUAUUGAGCUCUUCAUCCGACCCGUCUUGAAACACGGACCAAGGAGUCUAACAUGUAUGCGAGCCGGUGGGCGGCAAACCCAUUGAGGCGCAAGGAAACUGACAGGUGGGACCCCAUCAUCUGGGAGCACCAUCGACCGACCGUGAUCUUCUGUGAA